This 460-nucleotide ribosomal RNA is filed under the name uncultured bacterium. Its description in RNAcentral is "SSU rRNA". It matches the Rfam family "Bacterial small subunit ribosomal RNA", at positions 26 to 518 of the family's 1533-position model. The record is from RNAcentral.
AGAGCGAACGCUGGCGGCAGGCCUAAUACAUGCAAGUCGAACGGACCCUUCGGGGUUAGUGGCGGACGGGUGAGUAACACGUGGGAACGUGCCCUUUGGUUCGGAACAACUCAGGGAAACUUGAGCUAAUACCGAAUGUGCCCCCAUCCUUAAACAAGAUGGGUGGGAAAGAUUUAUCGCCAUUGGAGCGGCCCGCGUCUGAUUAGCUAGUUGGUGGGGUAAAGGCUCACCAAGGCGACGAUCAGUAGCUGGUCUGAGAGGAUGAUCAGCCACACUGGGACUGAGACACGGCCCAGACUCCUACGGGAGGCAGCAGUAGGGAAUCUUGCGCAAUGGGCGAAAGCCUGACGCAGCCAUGCCGCGUGAAUGAUGAAGGUCUUAGGAUUGUAAAAUUCUUUCAGCGGGGACGAUAAUGACGGUACCGCAGAAGAAGCCCGGCUAACUUCGCGCCAGCAGCCGC